GUCGUAACAAGGUCUCCGUUGGUGAACCAGCGGAGGGAUCAUUACCGAGUUUACAACUCCCAAACCCCUGUGAACAUACCUAAACGUUGCCUCGGCGGGACCCGUCUGCCCCGUAAAAAAGGGCCGGCCCGCCAGAGGACCCCAAACCCAACUGUAUUUUAUACCCUGUAUCUUCUGAGUCAAACAAACAAAUAAUCAAAACUUUCAACAACGGAUCUCUUGGUUCUGGCAUCGAUGAAGAACGCAGCGAAAUGCGAUAAGUAAUGUGAAUUGCAGAAUUCAGUGAAUCAUCGAAUCUUUGAACGCACAUUGCGCCCGCCAGUACUCUGGCGGGCAUGCCUGUUCGAGCGUCAUUUCAACCCUCAAGCCCCCGGGCUUGGUGCUGGGGAUCGGCAGGGCCCGCAAGGGCCGCGCCGGCCCCGAAAUCUAGUGGCGGUCCCGCCGCGGACUCCAUUGCGUAGUAGCAACACCUCGCAACUGGAAACGCGGCGCGGCCGAGCCGUUAAACCCCCAACUUUUCAGAAUGUUGACCUCGGAUCAGGUAGGAAUACCCGCUGAACUUAAGCAUAUCAAUA
Molecule: ribosomal RNA, 575 nt
Filed under: Fusarium staphyleae
Lineage: Eukaryota; Fungi; Ascomycota; Sordariomycetes; Hypocreales; Nectriaceae
Description: eukaryotic LSU rRNA
Rfam family: 5.8S ribosomal RNA (bases 200-353)
Source: RNAcentral